This is an RNA transcript of Gallus gallus (chicken), 1090 nucleotides long. It is a transcript of the gene named COP9 signalosome subunit 9, with no coding region annotated. Lineage: Eukaryota; Metazoa; Chordata; Aves; Galliformes; Phasianidae. The record is from RefSeq and is marked validated.
GCGGUGCGGCCGGAAGUAGGGGGGGCUGAGUGCUGGUGCCGUCAUGAAGCCGGCGGUGGAUGAGAUGUUUCCGGAGGGCGCCGGCCCCUACGUGGACCUGGACGAGGCAGGGGGAAGCACGGGGCUGCUGAUGGACCUGGCCGCCAACGAGAAGGCCGUGCACGCAGACUUCUUCAACGAUUUUGAAGAUCUGUUUGAUGACGAUGACAUCCAGUGAACUUAGUUGUCCUGCUGUGCUGAGAUGUGGAGUUCCUCUGGGAUCGCCUGUGGAAGAGCUGUGGGUUUUGUCCGGUUUCAAGAUUGAUGUUCAGCUUCCAUCAGUGCUUUGUUUUAACCGAAGUAGCAGAGGAGCAAAAAGUCGUUAUUUUAGCUUUUUUCUUUUUUGACUCAGGCUUUCAUUUUUAGAAAACUCUUGCUUUGCUUGAAGAGGGAGGGAUUUCAAGCUUUCCUCAUUGAAACCAAUAUAUACACUGACUGCUUAGUGUUAGCAGCUUUGUUUGGAUUGGUCCUGUCUCUGGUGCUGCACUUCUGAGCAAGGCUUUGGGAAGUGAGCUGUUACCAGUAAACAGACACUGUGUUCUGAGUUAGUGCCAAAAAGAAAAGGCUUGAAGAUACAGCUGUUCCCUUUUGUGCUGGUUUGGCUGCAUGCAUCUGCUGAUGCCCAGAUUCUUCAGGAUAGUAGUUGCCUUGGAAUACUGUUUUGCUUUUUUUUUGUUUCCUCUCCCCCAUUUGCUUUGUUAAAUUUAAACUCAAAGUAAGUCUUAAGUUUAAUGGGAUGAUUGUCAGGGUACGUUUAUUGUUAGUCAUCUGGAGUAUGAAGCUAUCCCCUGUCCAGUGAGACUGGAAGGAGAGUCUGUGCAUAUAACUGCUUUCCUAAAGAAGUCUUAAAGUGUAGGAAUUCUCAUUAGGAACUGUAAUUUCUUUGGAUCUCUUUUGGGACAGUAUUAAAAUGGAAGUGCUAAUUUGAAAAACAAUACCCUUGAGCUUCAAAUUAUUUCUUCUUGUCAAGUCUCUCAGUCUAAUUAGUCUGCAGGCAAUCAGCCUGUCAUCAGCAGAUAAUUAUGAGAUGUCAGUCUCUAAUAAAAAUUGA